GCCUGGGUGGCUCAGUCGGUUGAGCAUCUGACUUUAGCUCUGGUCAUGACCUCGAGGUCCGUGGGUUCGAGCCCCACGUCAGGCU
Molecule: transfer RNA, 85 nt
Filed under: Felis catus (domestic cat)
Lineage: Eukaryota; Metazoa; Chordata; Mammalia; Carnivora; Felidae
Rfam family: tRNA
About the family: Transfer RNA (tRNA) molecules are approximately 80 nucleotides in length. Their secondary structure includes four short double-helical elements and three loops (D, anti-codon, and T loops).
Source: Rfam by way of RNAcentral